Molecule: ribosomal RNA, 665 nt
Filed under: Acinetobacter calcoaceticus
Lineage: Bacteria; Pseudomonadati; Pseudomonadota; Gammaproteobacteria; Moraxellales; Moraxellaceae
Description: bacterial SSU rRNA
Rfam family: Bacterial small subunit ribosomal RNA
Source: RNAcentral
UAAUAUAGUUUUUUUUUUCUCUCUCAGAUUGAACGCUGGCGGCAGGCUUAACACAUGCAAGUCGAGCGGAGAGAGGUAGCUUGCUACUGAUCUUAGCGGCGGACGGGUGAGUAAUGCUUAGGAAUCUGCCUAUUAGUGGGGGACAACAUUUCGAAAGGAAUGCUAAUACCGCAUACGUCCUACGGGAGAAAGCAGGGGAUCUUCGGACCUUGCGCUAAUAGAUGAGCCUAAGUCGGAUUAGCUAGUUGGUGGGGUAAAGGCCUACCAAGGCGACGAUCUGUAGCGGGUCUGAGAGGAUGAUCCGCCACACUGGGACUGAGACACGGCCCAGACUCCUACGGGAGGCAGCAGUGGGGAAUAUUGGACAAUGGGCGCAAGCCUGAUCCAGCCAUGCCGCGUGUGUGAAGAAGGCCUUAUGGUUGUAAAGCACUUUAAGCGAGGAGGAGGCUACUUUAGUUAAUACCUAGAGAUAGUGGACGUUACUCGCAGAAUAAGCACCGGCUAACUCUGUGCCAGCAGCCGCGGUAAUACAGAGGGUGCAAGCGUUAAUCGGAUUUACUGGGCGUAAAGCGCGCGUAGGCGGCUAAUUAAGUCAAAUGUGAAAUCCCCGAGCUUAACUUGGGAUUGCAUUCGAUACUGGUUAGCUAGAGUGUGGAGAGAGUAUC